GUUCCCUUGAUGCAUUAUUGGGACCAUGCUAAUUAUGAUGAUCAAUAAUUGUUCUUCCUUAUAUUUUUCCGAGGGAACU
This is a small nucleolar RNA of Tripterygium wilfordii, 79 nucleotides long. RefSeq annotates it as small nucleolar RNA snoR53Y. The record is from RefSeq and is a predicted model, not a curated record. Lineage: Eukaryota; Viridiplantae; Streptophyta; Magnoliopsida; Celastrales; Celastraceae. The transcript has a single exon.